RNAcentral lists this ribosomal RNA (425 nucleotides) under uncultured bacterium. Its description in RNAcentral is "partial 16S ribosomal RNA". It matches the Rfam family "Bacterial small subunit ribosomal RNA", at positions 354 to 796 of the family's 1533-position model. The record is from RNAcentral.
GUGGGGAAUCUUAGACAAUGGGCGCAAGCCUGAUCUAGCCAUGCCGCGUGAGCGAUGAAGGCCUUAGGGUUGUAAAGCUCUUUCGUGGGGGAAGAUAAUGACUGUACCCCAAGAAGAAGCCCCGGCUAACUCCGUGCCAGCAGCCGCGGUAAUACGGAGGGGGCUAGCGUUGUUCGGAAUUACUGGGCGUAAAGCGCACGUAGGCGGACUGGAAAGUCAGGGGUGAAAUCCCGGGGCUCAACCCCGGAACUGCCUUUGAAACUCCCAGUCUUGAGUUCGAGAGAGGUGAGUGGAAUUCCGAGUGUAGAGGUGAAAUUCGUAGAUAUUCGGGGGAACACCAGUGGCGAAGGCGGCUCACUGGCUCGAUACUGACGCUGAGGUGCGAAAGCGUGGGGAGCAAACAGGAUUAGAAACCCUUGUAGUCC